CCGUUGCCGGCGACCGGCGCACGGGUGAGUAACACGUAUGCAACCUGCCCGUGGCAGGGGGAUAAGCGGGGGAAACCCCGUCUAAUACCGCGUAACGCGGCCUUGGGGCAUCCCAAGGCCGCCAAAGGGAGCAAUCCCGGCCACGGAUGGGCAUGCGGCGCAUUAGCUAGUCGGCGGGGUAACGGCCCACCGAGGCGACGAUGCGUGGGGGUUCUGAGAGGAAGGCCCCCCACACUGGUACUGAGACACGGACCAGACUCCUACGGAAGGCAGCAG
Molecule: ribosomal RNA, 276 nt
Filed under: uncultured bacterium
Lineage: Bacteria
Description: partial 16S ribosomal RNA
Rfam family: Bacterial small subunit ribosomal RNA
Source: RNAcentral